UGCGUGCGAUGGUACUGACAAUAUUUGUCAGGAUCUCUCUGGUUUGCUUCUGCUUUCAUGGGCCUAGGCCAUUGGAGAAACUCCUUGUCUUGGACGGCCAUGAGCACUUCCGCCCUGGAGGCAUUGAGUGGGGUCAGCUUCUCUGGGACCCACAAGGGCCGUGAUUUUUGUUCUGGGACCCCAAGGGGGAGAGGUCUUUG
Molecule: long non-coding RNA, 200 nt
Filed under: Manihot esculenta (cassava)
Lineage: Eukaryota; Viridiplantae; Streptophyta; Magnoliopsida; Malpighiales; Euphorbiaceae
Description: long non-coding RNA (MESC_LNC002115)
Source: RNAcentral